This 505-nucleotide ribosomal RNA is filed under the name uncultured bacterium. RNAcentral describes it as "partial 16S ribosomal RNA". It matches the Rfam family "Bacterial small subunit ribosomal RNA", at positions 28 to 507 of the family's 1533-position model. The record is from RNAcentral.
GACGAACGCUGGCGGCGUGCCUAAUACAUGCAAGUAGAACGCACAGUUUAUACCGUAGCUUGCUACACCAUAGACUGUGAGUUGCGAACGGGUGAGUAACGCGUAGGUAACCUGCCUGGUAGCGGGGGAUAACUAUUGGAAACGAUAGCUAAUACCGCAUAAUAUUAAUUAUUGCAUGAUAAUUAAUUGAAGGGUGCAAUUGCACCACUACCAGAUGGACCUGCGUUGUAUUAGCUAGUAGGUGAGGUAACGGCUCACCUAGGCGACGAUACAUAGCCGACCUGAGAGGGUGAUCGGCCACACUGGGACUGAGACACGGCCCAGACUCCUACGGGAGGCAGCAGUAGGGAAUCUUCGGCAAUGGACGAAAGUCUGACCGAGCAACGCCGCGUGAGUGAAGAAGGUUUUCGGAUCGUAAAGCUCUGUUGUAAGAGAAGAACGGGUGUGAGAGUGGAAAGUUCACACUGUGACGGUAUCUUACCAGAAAGGGACGGCUAACUACGUG